RNAcentral lists this unclassified non-coding RNA (345 nucleotides) under soil metagenome. RNAcentral's name for it is "partial contains 5.8S ribosomal RNA, internal transcribed spacer 2, and large subunit ribosomal RNA". The stretch from base 1 to 120 matches the Rfam family "5.8S ribosomal RNA", at positions 35 to 154 of the family's 154-position model. The record is from RNAcentral.
GAUGAAGAACGCAGUGAAAUGCGAGAAGUAAUGUGAAUUGCAGAAUUCCGUGAAUCAUCGAAUCUUUGAACGCACAUUGCGCCCUCUGGUAUUCCGGGGGGCAUGCCUGUCCGAGCGUCAUUUGCAACCCUCAAGCCCGGCUUGUGUGAUGGGUGCCGUCCCCUACGGGACGCGCCCCGAAGGCAAUGGCGGCGUCGCGGUUAUCCGAUCAGCCAAAGUGUAUGGGGCUUUGUCACUCACUUUACGGCCCGGACCGGCGCCAGUCCGAAUCAAUCUUUUUUCUAAAGUUGACCUCGGAUCAGGCAGGGAUACCCGCUGAACUUAAGCAUAUCAAUAAGCGGAGGA